UUUAAUAAGAAUGAAUGACAAAACAAUUAAUAUAUAAUUUGCUUGUUUAAUAAAACAAACGGUAAAAUAAAUUCUAUAAAAAAAUUGGUAAAAUAAAAUUAUAAAAUAAUAAACACAAGUUGUGUCUAUGCAUUGACACGUCAUCCUUAUCUCUUUAUCUCCCUCUUUUACAGGACAAAAUCUUCAAUCUUCAACCUUCAACCCUCUUUAAUUUCUUCCCUGUUCUUUUCUUCCUCUGUUUCUUUUUUCUCCCCUUGUUAUCAUUCCACAAUUUUUUUUUUCGGUUCUUUGCAUCCUUCAUUUAUUUAUUUAUUUAUUUUGUCGAUAAAUCAUUUUUCCUCCCUUUAAAUCCUUUUCUUCCGAAGAAGAAAAGAAAAAAAGCAAAAAAGAAUAAGUAACACUGUCACAAGGAUCUGAUUUUUCUUUUUUAUCUUUUUAAAAAAUGGCUUUUAUAAUUUAAAAUACUCAAGUUAUGGAUAAAGGCAAAAAUGCUAAUAUGAAUUUGUUGUGAUAUCGUGCAGUGGCUGCGGACCCGCGGCAUAGAGAUGUUGGAGUAGGGGUGCCGCGCGGGAGAACUUGACGGCAUUGACAGCAUCGAGUACUUAAAGUGGCUGUUGCCGUGCUAGUGUCGGUGAUAAAUGUUAUGGCUGAGCCGGUGUCGGCGAUAGAUUGGGUUUUGAGAAGAGAAUGGAAGCAAAGAGAAGAUGCGUUCUGUGGCUUAAUCGUGUUUUGAAGAAGAAAAAAUAUUACUCUUUUUUUUUUCCUCUCUUUAUAAGCAAUCACGCGUAAACCCGAUACCCCCCACGGGUUUAGUUAAUGCGGCUUUAACUGUAUAACAACAGUAAUGUUAUGCGGUAUAAUACGAAAUCAGUUUUUAGCCAAACAUAGGGAUGUAUUAAUUUAAUGCUAUGCGGGAUGGUAAUGCUGUGUAAAGCUGGAUGCCAAACGCAUCCUUAAUGGUUCAUGCCAUGCCUGCUCACAGGCUCUCAUGGCCUUCAUUUAAUGUCAGCAUGGCCCAUUGAAUUUGCUAGUUUUAAAUUUCACUUUUGUCUUUUAAACUAAACAAAUUUACUAGAGUUGUCUUCUCUUUUAGAGAUUUCCUCUAGCUUGUUUUAAGCUAUCCUUUAUUCACAUAAAAGUAUUGAUUUUUAAUCUA
This 1156-nucleotide long non-coding RNA is filed under the name Citrus x clementina. RNAcentral's name for it is "Citrus clementina (C. clementina) long non-coding RNA (CCLE_LNC005422)". The record is from RNAcentral. Lineage: Eukaryota; Viridiplantae; Streptophyta; Magnoliopsida; Sapindales; Rutaceae.